RNAcentral lists this ribosomal RNA (253 nucleotides) under uncultured bacterium. RNAcentral's name for it is "partial 16S ribosomal RNA". It matches the Rfam family "Bacterial small subunit ribosomal RNA", at positions 524 to 776 of the family's 1533-position model. The record is from RNAcentral.
UACGAAGGGGGCUAGCGUUGCUCGGAAUCACUGGGCGUAAAGGGUGCGUAGGCGGGGCUUUAAGUCAGGGGUGAAAUCCUGGAGCUCAACUCCAGAACUGCCUUUGAUACUGAAGAUCUUGAGUUCGGGAGAGGUGAGCGGAACUGCGAGUGUAGAGGUGAAAUUCGUAGAUAUUCGCAAGAACACCAGUGGCGAAGGCGGCUCACUGGCCCGAUACUGACGCUGAGGCACGAAAGCGUGGGGAGCAAACAGG